This is a long non-coding RNA of Tupaia belangeri chinensis (Chinese tree shrew), 598 nucleotides long. RefSeq lists it as uncharacterized. The transcript is spliced from 3 exons. Lineage: Eukaryota; Metazoa; Chordata; Mammalia; Scandentia; Tupaiidae. The record is from RefSeq and is a predicted model, not a curated record.
UUUGGUUCCUGCUCCACCGAAAGGCCAGGCAUGGUGGUGUGUGACUGUAAACCCUGCAAUGUGAGGAGGCUGAGGCGGGAGGAUUAUGACAUAGUGAGACACUAACUUAAAACAACAAAACCAAACCAAAAGCAUAGUGACAGUGGAAAUGGAAACAAAGGGACUAAUCUGAAAACGUUAUGGAAAAAAAUGAACAAGAUGGCAGCCAAGUAGAUAUCAAAGUAGGAAAAGACGCUGAAAAUUCUCACUAGGGAAGAUGGUGACAAAUGGAUCUGGCGAAGGAAAAAGGCAGAAGAACAGGUUUGGGAGUGAAGGAGGGCACCAAGAGGUCCCACUGCAAUAUGGUGUCACGAGAAACACUGACACUGGUAACUCCUUAGAAGUAGGACAGAGUUGAAGAACUUACUUUUCGUUGUAUACCCUCGUAUAAUCCCCUGGGCCCAGAAGAUGUCUGGUGAGUGAUGGGAGCUCGAUAAACCUUCGUGGAAGAAUGAAGUACAAAUCAAGGCACUCAAGAUUAUUGGACAAAGAGGUUUUUGAAGUCCAAAAUGAGGCAGAAACAUAACAAUGCCCAGUAAAUUUGGGGUAAAGGAAUGAA